Long non-coding RNA from Aquila chrysaetos chrysaetos, 5064 nucleotides. RefSeq lists it as uncharacterized. The transcript has 2 exons. The record is from RefSeq and is a predicted model, not a curated record. NCBI's taxonomy places the organism in Eukaryota, Metazoa, Chordata, Aves, Accipitriformes, Accipitridae.
AAACCCGCCCCCCCCUUAAAUCUAGAUAUACACAUUUUUAUUAUUAUUAUUAUUUUUCCCUCCGAGGCGCGGUGGUGGUUCUGCCCUGGGGGGGCGGGGCACCAUUUUCCCAUCAUUUUCCACAUUAACGCCUCUCCCCCUCUUUUCUCCCGGUUAUUUUCCGGAAUAGAGGACCCCCCCCCAGCUGAAGCUGCCCCCCCCUUUCGGGGGGGGGGGGCCGGGCUGGGGCCGCGAAAGUCCCGGGAAAAUUGGGGGGUGGCGGCCGCUCUCAACAUUUUCUCCGCAAAGCUUUACCGCAAACACCGCUGUCUCUAAAAAUACCCAUUUUUUUAUUAAAAAAAUUACUGGGGGGGGGGGCCGCCAGCAGCCCCUUGCUCAGCACCGCGUUGCCCCCCCCCCCCCCCCCCCCCCCCCGUGCCGGUGCCCCGGGCUCCCGGCAGGUUCCCACGGUGCCGCCCGCCCCCGGGCCGCCCCCCGCCCCGGGGAGGGGGCACCCCCGCCCCCCCUGCGCGCCCGCGUCCUCGCCCUCCACCUCUCCCCUUACGUUCUUUUCCCUUCUUUUUCUUUUUUCUCCCUUUUUCUCCCAUUUUUCCUUUUUUUUUCUUUUUUUCCUUCUUUUUUCCCUUUUUUUUUUUUUCCCCUCCCCCCCCCCCCCCCCCGCGCCCCCGGUCGAAGACGAAAUUGUCUCCGGGCCGGCCCCAGGCGUUGGAGCGGGCCGGAGCUCACAGCCCACCCCCCCACCCCCCCCCCCAAUCCCGGGGAUACAGGCUGGUUUUGGAGCUAUAUUUAAAGCGUGCAGUCAGUGGCUGGAUUUAGAAAACCAGGCAUAAAUCACAUUAAAACACGGACGGCGACGAUCCCAACGCGUCGGCAAAGCUUUGCCCUGAUUUCAUUGCCCCCCCUCCCAAUCUUAAAAGCAGAACCGAGACCGACAGCGGGGUCCCGUCCCCCCCAAAUAAAACCAGAGGUGGGUAUUUGAAGGCAAGGGGGUCCCUGCUGGGAUUUAUUCCGAUGAAUCCUGGGGGACUUAUUCAUCGACGGGGGGGGUUGGUUAAUUCAAAAGCCCGGGGUCCCCGUCCCCCCCCCAGCCCCCUUGCCUGCAAAGAAAGAGCUGCUGUCCAUGGGGAGGGGGCUGCGGGUUGGGGGGUGCCCAUGAGGAGAUCCCCGGGGAAACAGCUUGGGAACCCAGCAAAGAAUUCCUGAUUAAUGACCAGAACAGCUCAGGAUUUCGUUUUUCUCCAUAAAUCCUGGCUGAUUAUAAACCCUGCGCUCAGCCUGGCUGUGGGCUUUGCAUGGGACAGGGGGGGUACCCGAGAAAUCCACCCCCCCCCCCGUCCCCCCCAGGGGCCGUACCCAAUGCCCAGCCGCAGCUGAAGGCUGCAGCAUCCUUGUACCGUCCCAGCCCCGCUGACCCACCACCCCGCCGGCGUGGGAGAAGGACCUGGGGGGGGACACACACAGGGAUACGGGUGGUGCCCCCCCCCGCCACCCCAUUCACAGCAGUUCUGACCCCGCAGCUCCAGGGUUUGGAAAGCCAAACGUCUCCCAAACCGCAGUCUGGUUUUCAAGUCCAAAUAAAGCCUGCUGGGUUUUUUUCCCUGCCCGGCACAGGACGGCGGGUGCGUAUGCACAAAUCCUCCCUGCUUUCCCGCUCUGCCACCUGUGCGCUCGCUUGUCCCCCGCCCCAAACCCCAAACUGGGACCCCCCCAUGUCAGGAUCUGCCCCGUGCUGGGAGUCCCGUGCUUCUCACACCCUCCACGAAGCCCCUAGUACUGGGCUUUUGUCACAGCUAGACUGGAUCUUUGAUAGAUCGGGGUGGUUUAUUUUCUUUUUUUUUUUUUUUCCCUUUUACCCAAUAAUAAGCUUUUUUCAUCCAAGAUCAGGAAAAAAUAGGCAGGGAGGAGGGCUGACAUGCACAACCCAUAGAGAGCUUUGAGAGGAGCACGAAUCCCAAAGCUGUAAUUACUGCCUGCGUUUUUCGGCUACGGACCGGCUGCUAAAUUGGUUGUAAGGCGCGGAAACGGCAGUUACACCUUUCAGCGGAAAAAAUGUGGUUUAGCAGAGAAACGUGCAUGGGAAACCUCCCCAAAUCUGCAAUCCCUAUAUAACACCCCAGUAUUACCGAUUCUGCAUUUGUGAGUUUAAAACAAUCCGACGCCCAGGUGAACAGGAAUACUGAGCUCCGAAUGACAAGAUCUUCUACAUCAACAGAGUGAAAUAGGGAUUUUUCCCUUGAUCUGUCAGUUAAAUCAAAAAUACCCUCCUGGAUGCAGGACAUGAGCGAGCGAGAGGCAGUAGCAUGUGCUAUUUUGAGGUUUGAUAUAAAAUAGAUACCCUUGGCUUCAGCAUUUCUCCGUAGCCCGGCCCACAGGAGCUGCAGGUACUUUCGUAUGCAUACAAAACAUUUUAAAAUGGAAAAUAUUCACAGCUGCUCUUGCCGUUUUGACAGGGGGAAAGGAAUCGCGGGGCAUGUUAAGGAGAUAUUAAAAGCUGUGGUUUGAAGCUCCUAAAGCAUUUACUCAGCGGGAGAUCCAGAGAAAGAAGUUUAGAAGUUAACUGCAUACUUGUGUGCCUUUGCUCUGUCCUUCUUAAAAUUCACCUCUCCUAUCUGCUUCUAAUUUAAACAAGCAGAGCCCUCCAGGAACUGGAAAAUCCAGAUUUGCAGCAUCUCCCAGGGAAAGACGUUUUCUUACGUGCCCCCCCAGCACGAGGGUCCUGCUGAAGGUUAAACUCGCAAGUGCCUCUGCUUUUGCACCAAGUUAAUCUCCCCCCCAAAAAUAAAAGACCAGGGAAAUGCCGGUGAAAACUGCCUCGACGUUGCCGGCUGGGCCCUGGCUUGGUCCUGUCCCUCUUCAGAGCCAGGCAGGGAUUUCACCACCGCUGCCGGCAUUAAAUGCUCGUCCCCGCUCCGUGCCCUGGCCUGCUUCGGCUUCCCUGCCUGAAAACAAGGUAAACCCAUCCACCUCCCCGGGGUACGUUAUAGUGGCUUAAAAUUAACACUCACAAAUGUAUUUUCAAAUCCCUUCAUGAAAGGCACCAGAAGCUCUAGGUAUUAUUAGAAUAGAUCUUUCGCCUUUUAACAGCUGUUAAUUGCCAUUAAAACCAAACAUCCACAGCUUUAUUGGAACAGCAUCUGAAUUUCCAUGUCGCACGCCGCGCGUUGCAGAGCCUGCGUGUGUGCUUGGUCUUGCUUUCUUGCACGUGCCAGCCUGCCACGACGAGGUGCGAUCGCUAAAUCCUACCUCGGUGGUAGUUAUCUUGCAUACUGGGACCCGUUUUUGGGUCCCCUGCUGCCAGGCUUUUUCCUUCGCCCUCCCCACCAUGCUGCAAGUCGUUGCACCAGACGUGCCGUCAUUGCAAGAAGCUCACCCCCCCCCCCCCAACUUGCUAGCAGAAAAAAAGACGGGAUGCAAAACCUGUUCCCAAAAAUACCCUGAAGAAGCAAGCAGGAACCUGCCCGCGAGGAAAUGGGUCCCUAAGGCUGAAUCCAGCCUGCAGCUGCCAGCAAAAGCACGUGCUGGGUGUCACAGGGAUGGGAAUAGCCCGCUGUGACGAACGUGGAGUAAAUCAAAGUCAUUAACAGGCAGGGCUGGGGGGGAAGGCUGCCAGUCCUGCCCUCCCUGCAGCCACCGUGCCGGAGGCUCCUUUCCCCGCUCCCUUUGGGGUCCAUCAAGCCGGCCCCGUCCGCAGCAUCCCUCCAUCACCUCGUGGCCUGGGAUCUGCCACCACCACACGGAGAAACCGAGCGCCGGGCAGGGAAGAAACCCUUGGGAAAACCGUGCAGCAGUUUUCCCCGUGUCCACGAAGGCGCUGGCUCCUCGCAUCCCUCGUGGGUAUUUUAUACAUCCAUCCAACGAUCGCACCCGCCUGGCAGUCCCCUGCCACAGCCUACACCGGGUACCAAACUGCUGAUGCUAAACACGUGAGAUGGAUUCAGCAGGGCAAGAGGGGAAGAAAUACCUGUGGUUCCAAGCCCUUGAGCAUCUUAUUAGACCCCAGUGUUUCCUCUCACCCCGAACACCAACCCAAGGAGGGGGGUGUCCAUGGCUGGCUCCCGGGGCUAUCCCCUCGCUUUUCCCAUCACCCCAGUCCUCUGCACGGCCCCAAGUGAAGCCAAGGGGGAAGGAGCGGUUGGACGAGACGAGCCCUUUCUGCUCCACAAAGCUCGUCAGCCGGCAGCACUGGGCUUAUAAUUACUAUUUCCUUAAAGACGAGCCGAGCAGCUAUAGACAAAAAAAGUCCCCUCUUGUCGGAGCUGGAAUUUGAUGUCCUAACGACUGUUUUUGUACCGUGCCUGUUAGAGGAAAGAGCUCGGCAGGAGGGGGAAAGAGAGAUUUAAUUAUAGAGCUGCAUUGUGAUUUUGCACACAUAGCUGGCUGUUGUAAUCAGGUUACAAGUGUAUCUGAUUUUCUUCCCUCCCCUCCCUCUUCCUCCUCUUUCUCUUUCUUUUCUUUUUUUUUUUUUUUUCCUCCCCCUUUUUCCUUUCGGUGGUCCAAAUUAGUUGCUUAUGUUUGGGUGUUGCAGAGACGAGCUGUUAUUUGGCUUCGCUGAAGAUCUUGAUCAAGGGAACAGUGUUUCCAAAGAGGCUCAGCAGCUCUUUGCCAGAGAAAAACGACGGUUCCCAGCUCCGGCAGAAACCCGCCGGGCUGUGCCGGGCACUCGCAUCCCACCAUCCCAGGGUUCCCCUCCCACUGCCACAAUAAGGGGGGACACACAUAUACAUCUGUCGUCCACCCCCCCCAUGCUCCCAUCAAAUUCCUGCACAUCCAGGAUUCCCUCAAUAAAUAAGAGGCUUCUGAAGAAGAGGAGGACCCCUAUUUACCUCCAUUGGGGUAGGAGGAGGAAAGAGAGGAGAAAAGAGCGUUUUUAAAAGCAACUUUAUAUUUUUCUAUCCAAGGCAAGUGAUGCCGCACUUGGAUUGGGGACUGUUGUUGGGUUCAUUUAGGAAUCCAUUGUUGUCCAUGUGAAUUCUUUUUUACAUUUCAAAUAACAGGAUUAUUUCCCCAGGGGGUAAUAUCCUGUAAUUUGAACACAAUAAUGGGAAUAAAUUACUUACUUAGAAC